AUUAUUGGGCUAAAAUGUGUCCA
This 23-nucleotide non-coding RNA is filed under the name Arabidopsis thaliana (thale cress). Lineage: Eukaryota; Viridiplantae; Streptophyta; Magnoliopsida; Brassicales; Brassicaceae. The record is from RNAcentral.